This 253-nucleotide ribosomal RNA is filed under the name uncultured bacterium. Its description in RNAcentral is "partial 16S ribosomal RNA". It matches the Rfam family "Bacterial small subunit ribosomal RNA", at positions 524 to 776 of the family's 1533-position model. The record is from RNAcentral.
UACGUAGGUGGCAAGCGUUGUCCGGAUUUACUGGGCGUAAAGAGCGCGCAGGCGGUCGUUCAAGUCGCGUGUGAAAGCCCCCGGCUCAACUGGGGAGGGUCACGCGAUACUGAUCGACUCGAAGGCAGGAGAGGGAAGUGGAAUUCCCGGUGUAGUGGUGAAAUGCGUAGAUAUCCGGAGGAACACCAGCGGCGAAGGCGGCUUUCUGGUCCGAUUCUGACGCUGAGGCGCGAAAGCGUGGGGAGCGAUCCGG